RNAcentral lists this ribosomal RNA (253 nucleotides) under uncultured bacterium. RNAcentral's name for it is "partial 16S ribosomal RNA". It matches the Rfam family "Bacterial small subunit ribosomal RNA", at positions 524 to 776 of the family's 1533-position model. The record is from RNAcentral.
UACGGAGGGAGCUAGCGUUAUUCGGAAUUACUGGGCGUAAAGCGCACGUAGGCGGCUUUGUAAGUAAGAGGUGAAAGCCCGGAGCUCAACUCCGGAACUGCCUUUUAGACUGCAUCGCUUGAAUCCAGGAGAGGUGAGUGGAAUUCCGAGUGUAGAGGUGAAAUUCGUAGAUAUUCGCAAGAACACCAGUGGCGAAGGCGGCUCACUGGCCCGAUACUGACGCUGAGGCACGAAAGCGUGGGGAGCAAACAGG